Molecule: non-coding RNA, 402 nt
Organism: Pelobates cultripes (western spadefoot toad)
Lineage: Eukaryota; Metazoa; Chordata; Amphibia; Anura; Pelobatidae
Source: the annotation of a GenBank genome assembly
CAACAUCUGAGGUGCCAAAGGUUGCCUACCCAUCAUCUAGUACAGGGGUUCCCAACCCAGUCCUCAAGUACCCCCUAACAGUCCAGGAUUUAGGGAUUACCAUGUUUUUGGUUUUUUUCUUUCUAAAAACACCUUAGACACAGCUGGGUAAUCCAUAAAUACUUGAGGGAUACUUGAGGACUGGGUUGGGAACCACUGAUCUGGUAGAAUACACAAAAAAUACAUUUUGUCUCAACAAAUUUCACCUUUAGGUAAUUGAAUAAAAAAUGUGUCCCAACUGCUGAACUGGAGUGUCACAUAAUCCUUUCUUCUUUCUCUUGCCAAAUAUUUACUCAUAAAUAGCUAGGCUAAAAGGUUCCACUUAUUUUAACAGGUUUAUCAUUUUAAUUUAAAAAGCCCCAA